Molecule: ribosomal RNA, 490 nt
Filed under: uncultured bacterium
Lineage: Bacteria
Description: partial 16S ribosomal RNA
Rfam family: Bacterial small subunit ribosomal RNA
Source: RNAcentral
AGUGAACGCUGGCGGUAGGCCUAACACAUGCAAGUCGAACGGCAGCACAGGAGAGCUUGCUCUCUAGGUGGCGAGUGGCGGACGGGUGAGGAAUACAUCGGAAUCUGCCCAGUCGUGGGGGAUAACGUAGGGAAACUUACGCUAAUACCGCAUACGACCUUCGGGUGAAAGAGGGGGAUCGCAAGACCUCUCGCGAUUGGAUGAGCCGAUGUCGGAUUAGCUAGUUAGCGGGGUAAUGGCCCAUCAAGGCGACGAUCCGUAGCUGGUCUGAGAGGAUGAUCAGCCACACUGGAACUGAGACACGGUCCAGACUCCUACGGGAGGCAGCAGUGGGGAAUAUUGGACAAUGGGCGCAAGCCUGAUCCAGCCAUACCGCGUGGGUGAAGAAGGCCUUCGGGUUGUAAAGCCCUUUUGUUGGGAAAGAAAUCUUUCAGGCUAAUACCCUGGGAGGAUGACGGUACCCAAAGAAUAAGCACCGGCUAACUUCGUG